GUCUGAGUGGCCCAGUGGUUAAGGCAUCUGCUUUACAAUGUUGCGCAAACAACCAGUCUCGCAGAGGGUCGCGGGUUCGAAUCCCGUCUCGGAUA
This is a non-coding RNA of Diplogelasinospora grovesii, 95 nucleotides long. Lineage: Eukaryota; Fungi; Ascomycota; Sordariomycetes; Sordariales; Diplogelasinosporaceae. The record is from the annotation of a GenBank genome assembly.